RNAcentral lists this ribosomal RNA (253 nucleotides) under uncultured bacterium. RNAcentral describes it as "partial 16S ribosomal RNA". It matches the Rfam family "Bacterial small subunit ribosomal RNA", at positions 524 to 776 of the family's 1533-position model. The record is from RNAcentral.
GACGUAGGGCGCGAGCGUUGUCCGGAUUUAUUGGGCGUAAAGAGCUCGUAGGCGGCUUGUUGCGUCGACUGUGAAAACCCGCGGCUUAACUGCGGGCUUGCAGUUGAUACGGGCAGGCUAGAGUUCGGUAGGGGAGACUGGAAUUCCUGGUGUAGCGGUGAAAUGCGUAGAUAUCGGAAGGAACAUCAGUGGCGAAAGCGGCUUCCUGGACCAGUACCGACGUUCAGGCACGAAAGCGUGGGGAGCAAACAGG